Macaca mulatta (Rhesus monkey) is the source of this 328-nucleotide non-coding RNA. The record is from Rfam. Lineage: Eukaryota; Metazoa; Chordata; Mammalia; Primates; Cercopithecidae.
AGAUGUGUGGUCAAUCUGGCUGCAACAGCUGUGACCCCAUUGGUCGCCAGGGUUAAUUUGGCUGAUCUGACUGGCUAGGCAGGUUGUUCCCUUACCCUCACUAUUCCCAAAGCUGAGCACUUAAUGGAAGAAGACAACCUUCCCUGAUAGAGGAAGAUUGUUCUUCUGUCAAGGAUAUAUGAGUAGCUGCACCUCCCCUAAUACUUCCUCCAAACAAGUUGAAGACACUUCAUAUCACGCCUAGAAAGAGGAACAGAUGAAUGUGUAAGAUACUGGAGAGUGUUUGUACUCCGCACUGCGGGUAAAUAUCACAUGUGUUAUACCUUGU